AUUCCGGAGAGGGAGCCUGAGAAACGGCUACCACAUCUAAGGAAGGCAGCAGGCGCGUAAAUUACCCACUCCCAGUUCGGGGAGGUAGUGACGAAAAAUAACAAUACAGGACUCAUAUCCGAGGCCCUGUAAUUGGAAUGAGUACACUUUAAAUCCUUUAACAAGGACCAAUUGGAGGGCAAGUCUGGUGCCAGCAGCCGCGGUAAUUCCAGCUCCAAUAGCGUAUAUUAAAGUUGUUGCGGUUAAAACGUUCGUAGUUGAAUUUGUGCUUCAUACGGGUAGUACAACUACAAUUGUGGCUUGUACAUUACCUUAUGUAUGUAAGCGUAUUACCGGUGGAGUUCUAAUAUUUAUUGAUACUUGUAUCUUUAUUUAUACCUCCUAUUUAAACCUGCUUCAGUGCUCUUUACCGAGUGCUGUUGUGGGCCGGUACAAUUACUUUGAACAAAUUAGAGUGCUUAAAGCAGGCUCCAAAUGCCUGAAUAUUUUGUGCAUGGAAUAAUGAAAUAAGACUUCUGAUCUACUUUCAUUGGUUUUUAGAUCAAGAGGUAAUGAUUAAUAGAAGCAGUUUGGGGGCAUUAGUAUUACGACGCGAGAGGUGAAAUUCUUGGACCGUCGUAAGACUAACUUAAGCGAAAGCAUUUGCCAAAGAUGUUUUCAUUAAUCAAGAACGAAAGUUAGAGGUUCGAAGGCGA
This 695-nucleotide ribosomal RNA is filed under the name Melangyna subfasciata. Its description in RNAcentral is "SSU rRNA". It matches the Rfam family "Eukaryotic small subunit ribosomal RNA", at positions 380 to 1007 of the family's 1831-position model. The record is from RNAcentral. Lineage: Eukaryota; Metazoa; Arthropoda; Insecta; Diptera; Syrphidae.